GGCUCAGGACGAACGGCUGGCGGCGUGCCUAAUACAUGCAAGUCGAACGGCUUUUCUAUGGAAGCUUGCUUCCACUGAGAAGAUAGUGGCGGACGGGUGAGUAACACGUGGGUAACCUGCCCAUAAGAGGGGGAUAACAUCCGGAAACGGGUGCUAAUACCGCAUAGUUUUCUUGAUCGCAUGAUUGAGAAAGGAAAGACGGCCUUUGUGCUGUCGCUUAUGGAUGGACCCGCGGCGUAUUAGUUAGUUGGUGAGGUAACGGCUCACCAAGACGAUGAUACGUAGCCGACCUGAGAGGGUGAUCGGCCACAUUGGGACUGAGACACGGCCCAAACUCCUACGGGAGGCAGCAGUAGGGAAUCUUCCGCAAUGGACGAAAGUCUGACGGAGCAACGCCGCGUGAGUGAAGAAAAGGUUUUCGGAUCGUAAAACUCUGUUGUCAGAGAAGAACAAGUCGGAGAGUAGCUGCUCCGGCCUUGACGGUAUCUGACCAGAAAGCCACGGCUAACUACGUGCCAGCCGCCGC
RNAcentral lists this ribosomal RNA (526 nucleotides) under uncultured bacterium. RNAcentral describes it as "bacterial SSU rRNA". It matches the Rfam family "Bacterial small subunit ribosomal RNA", at positions 21 to 518 of the family's 1533-position model. The record is from RNAcentral.